Molecule: ribosomal RNA, 451 nt
Filed under: Plateumaris constricticollis babai
Lineage: Eukaryota; Metazoa; Arthropoda; Insecta; Coleoptera; Chrysomelidae
Description: partial 16S ribosomal RNA
Source: RNAcentral
GGCUUAUUGAUAGAAGAUUUUAGGUCUAUCCUGCCCCCUGAUAAUAGUUAAAUGGCCGCAGUAUUUUGACUGUGCUAAGGUAGCAUAAUAAUUAGUUUUUUAAUUGGAAGCUGGUAUGAAUGGUAUGAUGAGAAAAUUACUGUCUCUAUUAAAAAGUUAAAAUUUUAUUUUUAAGUUAAAAAGCUUAAAUAUUAUUAAAAGACGAGAAGACCCUGUAGAAUUUUAUUUAAAUUUAUUUUUAUUAAUAAAGUAUUUAAAAUUGAAAAAUAAGUUUAUAUUUAGUUGGGGUGAUUAGAAAAAUUAAGUAUCUUUUUUUUAUAAUAACAUUGAUUUAUGGUUGUAUGAUUCAUAUUAAUGAUUUAAGAAUAAAUUACCUUAGGGAUAACAGCGUAAUUUUUUUUUAGAGCUCUAAUCAAAAAAAAAGAUUGCGACCUCGAUGUUGGAUUAAAAU